CCCACAUCCAUACGUAUAGGACCCCAAAGGAUCACCAUUAAAUUUGACACAGAUCUCUAAAAAAGUUAUCUCAUGGAUGUGGGACUUGACUUUCCUAGAGAUCUGUGCCAAAUUUAAUGGUGAUCCUUUGGGGUCCUACACACAUGGGUGUGGG
RNAcentral lists this microRNA precursor (154 nucleotides) under Amborella trichopoda. RNAcentral's name for it is "MIR8565 microRNA precursor family". It matches the Rfam family "MIR8565 microRNA precursor family". Lineage: Eukaryota; Viridiplantae; Streptophyta; Magnoliopsida; Amborellales; Amborellaceae. The record is from Rfam by way of RNAcentral.